AUGGAAGUUAGACGUGGCACCUCGAAGCCGAACGUUAGCUAGCUGGAUAUGUGACAACGACUGCUCUGAACUUUCCUCAUACAGAACAACAGUUUGGGAUGCUGAGCAGCAUGAUUACAUUGAAGAGACGUCUGGGCCACGACAGUGCGACAAUUUCCACGCCUUUUUCUAUCAGCAUUUGCUACGAGCCAGUAGAGGGAGUCCAAGACUUGAAUCUUGCUCCAACCUUUUGGCCUCAAAAAACUGAAGCUUUCUACAAGCUCUCUGUCUGAGCUGCGAGAGGUAGAUUCCCCCACCGUGUUCCAUCUCCAGCAUCAGCAGCUAGAGCACACAGCUUGCGUGUUGCGCUACGUGUCUGUAAUUCCCACCGACAACUGUGUUAAUGGAUGACAAUGGCGGAGAGGAGUGCGCCAUAUGUCCGAGCCUCGGGCAGCGCGUAGAAGGGCAAGGCACACAAAGACGAACCGAGGGGGGAGUUAAGGGCAGAGGAGAGAGAGAGAGUGGGGAGGAAAAAGAAACACGCUAGAGUAGAAAAGAAAGAUAGAAGAAGAAGAAGCAUUGGGAUAAGGAGACAUGUUAGUUUUCUCGUUCGCAUCCAAACUAUUUUCCUCCCUAAUUCUU
This is a long non-coding RNA of Etheostoma cragini (Arkansas darter), 621 nucleotides long. RefSeq lists it as uncharacterized. The record is from RefSeq and is a predicted model, not a curated record. The transcript has 4 exons. Lineage: Eukaryota; Metazoa; Chordata; Actinopteri; Perciformes; Percidae.